This 2598-nucleotide long non-coding RNA is filed under the name Sorghum bicolor (sorghum). RNAcentral's name for it is "long non-coding RNA (SBIC_LNC001560)". Lineage: Eukaryota; Viridiplantae; Streptophyta; Magnoliopsida; Poales; Poaceae. The record is from RNAcentral.
AAUGGCUGCCUGCUUGCGUCGUCGAUGACGACGAUGCGGUAGCUGCUAGCUAGUAAGUACUACGUGCAGCAGAUGGCUGCUUCCGGGCUUUCUUUCUUUCUUUGACCGGAUUCAGAGCGCCGUUUCGGGAAUUGAGAAAUGGACUCGAUCGAUCGUCGUCUCGUCUGCACAUGCAACAAUAUAAUGAGGCAAGGACGAGAGAUGCAGAUGCUAGCUUUGACCUUUUGCCAAAAGCUAGCUUCCUUCCGUGUCUGUCAUGCAUGAUGCUUGAUGCAUGCACCGUCGCCAUUCACACACGACACGGUGUGCGACCAACCAUAGCUCCGGAAGUGCCAAUAAUCCAAGGUAUGUAUAUAUGUAGGCGAAGAACAGAGACCGAUUUUUUUUUUUUCGCGAACGAAACCGCCUCCGGUGCGCGCUGGGCCAAGAAAUUGAUAGGGCUCAAUCUUACGGAUAUCAAAACCAUCGGACAAUGUUGCUGGGCUUUAAUUUCCAGCCCAGAUAAUGCCUCCUAAUGCUUGGUCGUGAUAAAGAAAGCAUUAUUGCAUUUUAGGAAACCUUGAUUUUUCUUGACUAGACCAUGUUCAUACAUUUUUUUCAGUGAAAAGAGAUCCGUCUAUUAACUAUUCAGAAACAUAACUACGUCACUAGAAAUAAUUUGCUUAACACACAGUAAAAACACAGUAAACGCCAUACGGUUCAAUUGAAUGUUUCCUAUGGUUUGCCAGUUGUUGAAGCAUAUUUGUGUAGUACUUAUUUUACUCUUUUUUCAUGUGGGUUACAGUGACUUUCUGGUACACCAUGCAUGCAUUCUGCUGCGCCAUGCGUGCCAGGCCAAGUCACACUUCUUCAGCGUCUCUGCCGUAACCAAAGAGCGCCACAGUCACACUAUUUCUAGAAGUCCCGGUACCAUUUUGUCAAAAGAAAUAAAGGAAGUCUCGGUACAUUUUAGCGCGCAGUAUUAAAAUGUUGGUAGUACCGAUUCGAUGCAGGGCGUCAAAAUGGUCCCAGAUUUUAGUUUAUAUAAGUACUAUCUUUUAGUUAAUAAACUUAAUAGUGCCAUUAGCGUGCUCCUAACCUAAAACUUUUGACCAGGGAUCAUAGGAAGUAGGUCUAAGUGGUGCGUUCUGCAGUGAGAAUCAUGCAUGGGUACAUUGUUGACAAUAUAAAUAAGCAUACCCAAUCUAGUAUUACUAACUGAAAGUCUCAACUGAAUCUCCGUGUUAAUCAUCACACACGGGCUAGAAGAAAUAAAUCAUAAAAAUUGUAAAACAAAAAAAAACAGAGAUGCAUCUAGAUAUCAAUCUGAUAUGCUCUAGCCGUUAUUGAUGGUAAUAAUCAUUGGAUCUAUUACUAACUGAAAGUCUCAACUGAAUCUCCGUGUUAAUCAUCACACACGGGCUAGAAGAAAUAAAUCAUAAAAAUUGUAAAAUAAAAAAAAACAGAGAUGCAUCUAGAUAUCAAUCUGAUAUGCUCUAGCCGUUAUUGAUGGUAAUAAUCAUUGGAUCUAUUUUUAUUUAUUUUUUUCAUAGAGACGGAUGAAAAACAUAUAUAGUAAUUAGUCCUACCACAAAAUAUGCUAUCAUUAUCAGACUAUUGUUUCAUGCUUCAAUCGGCAGUAAUAUGCUGGUUUGUGAGUUGUGACUUAACUGACAGCGUGAUAGGUUAUUCUGCACAAAAAAAAUCAUAUAAGGUCGGAUCAAAAUAAACUUGAUAUUAAAAUUAUAGAGUUCAAAGCGAUCUAAAACUUAGAAGUUGACCAAGUUUUAAAUUUGAGAUGGUACAUGUCCAAAUAUUUAAUAUAAGUUCUCAGAGCAGAAUUGAGAUGAUUAAUAACAAUGUCAAAUAGAGACAAAGUCAUCGUCAAAGAUGUAAUACUCCAUAAGAUCUACAACUUUGUUGUUAACAACUUUUUUUCAUUUAACAUCGUUUAGAGAGUCAAAUCUGUAACACCCGGCCAAGGGCUUAAUAGGAUUAAUAGGAGACUCAUACCAAUAAGUUGCAACUUCUUUUUCGGAAGCCCAUCUCCAAAGAACUCUAAAGUUAAGCGUGUUUGGCCUAGAGAAAUUUAGGGAUGGGUGGCCGACCGGGAAGUAGUUCUCGGGUGCGCACGAGUGAGGACAAAGUGUGCAGGGGUGCGCACGAGUGAGGACAAAGUGUGCAGAAAAGACUAGUGUUGGUCUGUGGGGAUUGACUAUGUCUUAGAAAAGCUGCCAGAUGUAAGCGUGCCCGACCUCAUAGAGGCGUGUUUGGAAAUGAAUAGAGAGAGAAAACAAGAAUAAAACAUUUUGUCCAGUAAUAAGAUUCUAGGCUGAUGAGCAUGCAUAUCUCCACUACUAUAUAAUCCACCAGUUGUGAACUUAACUAAAUGCACCCCAUAACCUACUGCUACAGUCAUAAGCUACAUUAAGUACACCCAGGAAGUUCUAUUUUUUGAAAUUAAGGGACAAGAUCUAUUUUAACCUCUCAUUUCUCUUACUCACUCAAAUCCAACGGAUCAUAUUGCUUGGAUCAAACCUCAUCACUCAUUCAUCGUUCCCCUCUCACGCACACCCGGCCACGCGCGAGGUGCGACUCUCCCUCUCCCCAACGCCCACC